UACAGAGGGUGCAAGCGUUAAUCGGAAUUACUGGGCGUAAAGGGUGCGUAGGUGGUUUGAUAAGUUAGGUGUGAAAGCCCCGGGCUUAACCUGGGAACUGCGCCUAAUACUGUCUAACUAGAGUACUGUAGAGGAAGGUGGAAUUUCCGGUGUAGCGGUGAAAUGCGUAGAUAUCGGAAGGAACAUCAGUGGCGAAGGCGGCCAACUGGACGAAUACUGACGCUGAGACUCGAAAGCGUGGGGAGCAAACAGG
Molecule: ribosomal RNA, 253 nt
Filed under: uncultured bacterium
Lineage: Bacteria
Description: partial 16S ribosomal RNA
Rfam family: Bacterial small subunit ribosomal RNA
Source: RNAcentral